RNAcentral lists this transfer RNA (75 nucleotides) under Acidimicrobiia bacterium. RNAcentral describes it as "tRNA-OTHER". Lineage: Bacteria; Bacillati; Actinomycetota; Acidimicrobiia. The record is from RNAcentral.
AUAAUUAGUUCAGGUCAAAUGGUUUGCCCUUACCUGAAAAACAAGGGGUCGGCAGUUCGAUUCUGCCUCUGGCCA